This 465-nucleotide ribosomal RNA is filed under the name uncultured bacterium. Its description in RNAcentral is "partial 16S ribosomal RNA". It matches the Rfam family "Bacterial small subunit ribosomal RNA", at positions 28 to 507 of the family's 1533-position model. The record is from RNAcentral.
GACGAACGCUGGCGGCGUGCUUAACACAUGCAAGUCGUACGGUAAGGCCCUUUCGGUUGUACACGAUUGUCUAACGGGUGAGUAACACGUGAGUAACCUGCCCACCACUUUUGGAUAACGCUAGGAAACUGGUGCUCGUACUGGAUAUGUGCUCCUGCUGCAUGCUGGGGGUUGGAAAGCGCCUGCGGUUGUGGAUGGACUUGCGGCCUAUCAGCUUGUUGGGGGGGUAGUGGACUACCAAGGCGGCGACGGGUAGCCGGCAUGAGAGGGUGACCGGCCACAUUGGGACUGAGAUACGGCCCAGACUCCGACGGGUGGCAGAAGUGGGGAAUAUUGGACAAUGGGCGCAAGCCUGAUGCAGCAACGCCGCGUGGGGGAUGACGGCCUUCGGGUUGUAAAACGCUUUCAGCAGGGAAGAAGCUGUUGGUGACGGUACCUGCAGAAGAAGCACCGGCUAACUACGUG